UGCAUGUCUCAGUGCAAGCCACACUAAGGUGAAACCGCAAAUGGCUCAUUAAAUCAGUUAUGAUUUAUUAGAUGAUACAUUAUAUUACUUGGAUAACUGUGGCAAUUCUAGAGCUAAUACAUGCAAACAGAGUUCCUGCUUUUAAUGGCAGGAACGCUUUUAUUAGAUCAAAACCAAUACGUUAGUUUCGGCUAACGAUAUCAUUGGUGACUCUGAAUAACUUUUUGAUGAUCGCAUAGUCUUGUACUAGCGACAAAUCUUUCAAAUGUCUGACUUAUCAACUGUCGAUGGUAGGCUUUACGCCUACCAUGGUUGUAACGGGUAACGGGGAAUCAGGGUUCGAUUCCGGAGAGGGAGCCUGAGAAACGGCUACCACAUCCAAGGAAGGCAGCAGGCGCGCAAAUUACCCACUCCCAGCACGGGGAGGUAGUGACGAAAAAUAACGAUACGGGACUCAUCCGAGGCCCCGUAAUCGGAAUGAGCACACUUUAAAUACUUUAACAAGUAUCCAUUGGAGGGCAAGUCUGGUGCCAGCAGCUGCGG
RNAcentral lists this ribosomal RNA (543 nucleotides) under Elaunon bipartitus. RNAcentral describes it as "SSU rRNA". It matches the Rfam family "Eukaryotic small subunit ribosomal RNA", at positions 52 to 579 of the family's 1831-position model. Lineage: Eukaryota; Metazoa; Arthropoda; Insecta; Dermaptera; Forficulidae. The record is from RNAcentral.